AAACUUUCAACAACGGAUCUCUUGGUUCUGGCAUCGAUGAAGAACGCAGCGAAAUGCGAUAAGUAGUGUGAAUUGCAGAAUUCAGUGAAUCAUCGAAUCUUUGAACGCACAUUGCGCCCCU
This 121-nucleotide ribosomal RNA is filed under the name uncultured Cenococcum. Its description in RNAcentral is "partial 5.8S ribosomal RNA". It matches the Rfam family "5.8S ribosomal RNA", at positions 1 to 120 of the family's 154-position model. Rfam says of the family: 5.8S ribosomal RNA (5.8S rRNA) is a component of the large subunit of the eukaryotic ribosome. It is transcribed by RNA polymerase I as part of the 45S precursor that also contains 18S and 28S rRNA. Functionally, it is thought that 5.8S rRNA may be involved in ribosome translocation. The record is from RNAcentral. Lineage: Eukaryota; Fungi; Ascomycota; Dothideomycetes; Gloniales; Gloniaceae.